CAUGUUCUCUACAUCUCUACUGCUCCUGCUGGCAGCUGCUUCCUAUGUUCAUAGUUAUGAACUGAUUCAGCCUGGCGCCAUGGCAGUCCAGCCUGGCCAGAGUCUCUCCAUCCCCUGUAAGGUUUCAUAUACAGUUACAAGCUAUGGUACAACUUGGAUCCGACAACCUGCAGGAAAAGCUCUGGAGUGGAUUGGGUAUAUCAGUAGUAGUGGGGGAACAGGUUACAGUGACAAACUGAAAAAUAAAUUCAGCAUCUCCAGAGACACUUCUACUAACACAAUAACAAUUCAAGGACAGAAUCUGCAAACUGAAGACACAGCUGUGUAUUACUGCACAAAAGGUCUCACAGUGACGCAAAACUGUGGAUUUCCCUUACAAAAACCUUGAGGCAUUUUAGAAACAUAUGCACAGUGCAACUGAUAAACCA
Non-coding RNA from Clarias gariepinus (North African catfish), 428 nucleotides. The record is from the annotation of a RefSeq genome assembly. NCBI's taxonomy places the organism in Eukaryota, Metazoa, Chordata, Actinopteri, Siluriformes, Clariidae.